GCAGACACAUUCCAGCCAAUCAGCAGCAGACCCUCCCUCCCAGGCCCUUCCACCUCCUGGACAGCUCACUAAGAAUGCAGCUUCACAAUGAAUGUAAAAUGGAUGCUGUCCAGGAGGUGGGAGGGUCUGGGAGGGAGGGUCUGCUGCUGAUUGGCUGGAAUGUGUCUG
Molecule: non-coding RNA, 168 nt
Organism: Pelobates cultripes (western spadefoot toad)
Lineage: Eukaryota; Metazoa; Chordata; Amphibia; Anura; Pelobatidae
Source: the annotation of a GenBank genome assembly